CACACUUCUCCUCUCACACACAGUACACAAUCUACUGUAUGUGAGUGUUGCAACUACUUAUUUUACGGAAUACAAUACAAUCUCGGAUUCUUACUUCUCCCCGGUGGGCACUUCUAAACUUUUUCUCAGGGAUUUUUUUCUCUCACAACCUGGCAACCCGUAGAGAGCAGCAAGCAGCAGUUGCCAGAACAAGUUGCCAGAACAAGAGGAUGUGUCCUAUCCCUGGAGAGAAAAGAGAGAAGAGUCUGAGCUGAAUCUUAAUGAGGACGUGGAUCUGUCGGAGGAGAUCUGAGGAGACGACCAGGAACAGGAGAGAAGAGGAGGAGAAGGAGGGAUAAAAGAGGAGGAGGAGGACAGAACAUGGGCCAUUCCUGUUUGUGGAUUUUUCUGCUGUCCCUGUCUCUCUCCCACCAGGCAGUCACUGAACAGGCAGAAGCAUGUCGGACGGCGGAGCCUGCAGACCUGGUGUUCUUGGUGGAUGAGUCGUGGGGCGUGGGCCAGACCAGCUUCUCCAGGGUUAAGGACUUCAUCUCGGCCAUCAUGAAUUCCUUUCAGGACAGCGUGGUGGGGUCCGAAGGC
Long non-coding RNA from Oncorhynchus kisutch (coho salmon), 579 nucleotides. RefSeq lists it as uncharacterized. The transcript has 3 exons. The record is from RefSeq and is a predicted model, not a curated record. NCBI's taxonomy places the organism in Eukaryota, Metazoa, Chordata, Actinopteri, Salmoniformes, Salmonidae.